Molecule: transfer RNA, 72 nt
Filed under: Camelus bactrianus (Bactrian camel)
Lineage: Eukaryota; Metazoa; Chordata; Mammalia; Artiodactyla; Camelidae
Also listed under: 2 other names
Rfam family: tRNA
About the family: Transfer RNA (tRNA) molecules are approximately 80 nucleotides in length. Their secondary structure includes four short double-helical elements and three loops (D, anti-codon, and T loops).
Source: Rfam by way of RNAcentral
AAAGGUAUAGCUCAGAGGUAGAGUGCCUGUUUAACAUGCACAAAAUCCUGUGUUCAAUCCCCAGUAUCUCCA